Molecule: transfer RNA, 74 nt
Filed under: Halobacteriales archaeon SW_7_68_16
Lineage: Archaea; Methanobacteriati; Methanobacteriota; Halobacteria; Halobacteriales
Description: tRNA-Thr
Rfam family: tRNA
About the family: Transfer RNA (tRNA) molecules are approximately 80 nucleotides in length. Their secondary structure includes four short double-helical elements and three loops (D, anti-codon, and T loops). Further hydrogen bonds mediate the characteristic L-shaped molecular structure. tRNAs have two regions of fundamental functional importance: the anti-codon, which is responsible for specific mRNA codon recognition, and the 3' end, to which the tRNAs corresponding amino acid is attached (by aminoacyl-tRNA synthetases). tRNAs cope with the degeneracy of the genetic code in two manners: having more than one tRNA (with a specific anti-codon) for a particular amino acid; and 'wobble' base-pairing, i.e. permitting non-standard base-pairing at the 3rd anti-codon position.
Source: RNAcentral
GCCGUGGUAGCUCAGCUGGUCAGAGCGGUUGCUUUGUAAGCAACUGGCCGGGGGUUCGAAUCCCCCCUACGGCU